GACGAACGCUGGCGGCGUGCUUAACACAUGCAAGUCGAACGGACAGGCCCUGCUUUUGUGGGGUGCUCGUGUGGCGAAGGGGUGUGUAACACGUGAGUAACCUGCCCCUGACUUUGGGAUAACUUCAGGGAACUGGGGCUAAUACCGGAUAGGAGCUCCUGCUGCAUGGUGGGGGUUGGAAAGUUUCGGCGGUUGGGGAUGGACUCGCGGCUUCUCCGCUUGUUGGUGGGGUAGUGGCUUACCAAGGCUUUGACGGGUAGCCGGCCUGAGAGGGUGACCGGGCACAUUGGGACUGAGAUACGGCCCAGACUCCUACGGGAGGCAGCAGUGGGGAAUAUUGCACAGUGGGCAGAAGCCUGAUGCAGCAACGCCGCGUGCGGGAUGACGUCCUUCGGGUUAUAAACCGCUUUCGCCUGUGACGAAGCGUGAGUGACGGUAAUGAGUAAAGAAGCACCGGCUAACUACGUG
Molecule: ribosomal RNA, 468 nt
Filed under: uncultured bacterium
Lineage: Bacteria
Description: partial 16S ribosomal RNA
Rfam family: Bacterial small subunit ribosomal RNA
Source: RNAcentral